This is a long non-coding RNA of Penaeus chinensis, 375 nucleotides long. RefSeq lists it as uncharacterized. The record is from RefSeq and is a predicted model, not a curated record. The transcript is spliced from 3 exons. Lineage: Eukaryota; Metazoa; Arthropoda; Malacostraca; Decapoda; Penaeidae.
GAGGCACUCGCGCGACCUGCAAGCGACGCUUAUCCUUAGGACGUAGUUAGCGCAGCUGCGGGAUACACACCUUACCAGUUGAGCGCCUUUGACUUUGGUUCAAAUCUGCGGGACAACUGGAUUGAUCCAGAGGGAAGUAACUGUGUGUUGUGGCCAACCCACCUGCGACACAGGACAGGCGUUGAAAAGGCAGUCAAGAAUAAAAUCCUCCCCCAGACAACACCUGGAAAGCCUAUCCUAUAUCAAGGAUUUUAUGGAAAAGCACCGAAUGGAGUGAAGCUACAAGAAAGUGCAGGAAAGCUGAAGAGACCAGUGACCUGGAGUCUGAGCAGGAAGAACCUGCCCCCAAAACGGUUUAUAAGCGCUGAACAAAGU